Molecule: non-coding RNA, 1412 nt
Organism: Prunus avium (sweet cherry)
Lineage: Eukaryota; Viridiplantae; Streptophyta; Magnoliopsida; Rosales; Rosaceae
Source: RefSeq, a predicted model, not a curated record
GAUUUAGGGUCGAGCCAUCUCUACGGAUACGGCGCCGCACAAUAAGCUGCUGCUGCUGCAGCCGCAACAGCCGGCAUCUCCAGUGUCUACACCUCACGUGCCCUAACCGACUCCUACCUAUCCGACCUGACCCUCCGGUACCUUUCCGAGUCGGACCCUUCGGCCUCCGCCACCGACGACCAUUGCAGAAGUAGCUCUAUGUAUCUGGCGACGUCGCAUUUGAUGUCCUAGUCUUCAUGGCCAGCUCCCGAUGUCGAGCCCGGCGUGAAACGCCCCUCUGAAGGUUCCACUUGUCGCUCCAAGUGAAUCCCUUCCUGAGAGACCUGGAGAGCCAGACCUGGAGAGCCACAUUAUCUAUCUAUCCAUGAUGUAGAUUUGCAUAUAUUCCAUUUCAUAAUUUUUAAACAGUUCCACUUGAAAACGGGGCAAUGUAAGUUUGGUGCAACCUGCAAAUUUCAUCACCCGAAAGAUAUCCUAAUACCAUCAGCCGAGCAAGAGAAUACAAUUGGAGAAACUGGGACAACUAUUCAGCCGGAGGGAACUGGACUUUCUGUGAAGCCUCCUGUUUCAUUCAGCCCUGCACUAUCAUUUAACUACAAGGAGCUUCCUGUAAGACCGGGUGAACCCGAUUGUCCAUUCUAUUUCUACCUAAUUGGAAGUUGCAAGUAUGGGGCCACUUGGGCACGACUUAAGAGAACAUGAAAAGGCUCUAUGGGACGAUCUUGUUGCUGCCUCCACCACGCACUCAGCGCCGUUGGCAAUACCUCCUUUGGUGAGGAGAAGGCCACGCAGAGAAGUUUGUAAUCGGUAAUGUGUAAUGUCCAAGUUUGUAAUCAGUAAUCUUACGACAUGAAUUCUUUAUAAAGUACUGUAACAUAAAAAAGGGCAUUCAUGUGAUCCACCAGUACUUGGCCUCUUUUCCUGUGCGUCAGGGCCUUCAUGCGAUCUGAUAAUCAACUUGAGUUGAAAUUUAUUGAGAAAAUUCUCAGUGCAGUCUGUACCCCAAAGCAGACCAAUGCCUCUUUAUAUUUGGAGAAAGACCAGGAGUCAUUAAGGGAUCCGACCACAUCAUGUCACCAGGAACCAAGUUGGGACCUCCUCAUGGAGCAUCAAGAAAGGUCCCAACUUGAUUCUUGGUGACGUGAUGUGGUUGGAUCCUCAAUGAAUCCUGAUCUUUCUUCAAAUAUAGAGAGACAUUGGUCUGAUUUGGGGUCCUGACUGCACUGAGAAUUUUCUCAAUAAAUUUAAACUCAAGUUGAUUAUUAAAUCGCAUGAAGGCCCUGAUGCACGGGAAGAGAGACAUUACUGAUUACAAAAUUCUUUGUUAGCGGGAUGCGAUUUGUGAGGCUGUACCCUUACUCUUUGUUUGGAUGAAGGAACUAAAAAUUACAUAUUAUUGUAAAAUGAUGGAA